AUGGGAAUGGGUUUGACAAGGUUACCAUCUGUUCUUCUCUUCAUCAGAUUGUUGAGAUCACUGAGGUUUUGGGACGAUGGCUCUCAUUUCACCUCUAACGACAAAACCUGGGAUCAGGCUGAUGGAUCCUGCUUUCGCUGUUGUUUCCUUGUGCUGACUUACAGGAUUUACAUUCACAAAAGAAUUCAUCUUACAUUCAUCUUUCAUCUGGCUUUUUUUCUUGCCAAAGGGAAGAUAUAUGCUGGAUGGUAUACAGGAGGUAAGAUGAUACCUCGAGUGGCGUAUGAGACUCGACUGCAAAUUUACAGCUCAUCUGCCAACAUGGAGCAGGGAUGUAUUCAUCAUGGUGCCCAUGGACUGAAACCUGCCACUGCAGGGAUCUGCUUGUCUUGCCCACGGAGCAACUGAGGUAUACAUGACCUGACACUCGCACAGAGACUCGUCUGAAUGCCUGGAGAAAAAGGAAGAGAGGGAGUCAACGAACUUACAUGAGGUCUAUGGCGAGGUCACAGAUUAAAGAGGCACCCACUGGUCUCAAACGGGAGUACAACUGUUUUGAUCCGUAUGAUCCGUUUGAUCCGAUUCUUCAGGCUCUUGUUGGUUGGUGCAGUGCUACAAUCUGGUAAGAUUUUAAUUGUACACACAAAUCCUUUCCCGGCAGAACAUUCUGGCAGUACAACCAAUCGAAACAGUCAUAUCUACCAGAAGAAGGUAUC
Long non-coding RNA from Ctenopharyngodon idella (grass carp), 716 nucleotides. RefSeq lists it as uncharacterized. Lineage: Eukaryota; Metazoa; Chordata; Actinopteri; Cypriniformes; Xenocyprididae. The transcript has 5 exons. The record is from RefSeq and is a predicted model, not a curated record.